Molecule: long non-coding RNA, 423 nt
Filed under: Elaeis guineensis (African oil palm)
Lineage: Eukaryota; Viridiplantae; Streptophyta; Magnoliopsida; Arecales; Arecaceae
Description: long non-coding RNA (EGUI_LNC011531)
Source: RNAcentral
AUUGAAUGACAGAUUUGAAACCUAAACCCUCAUAAGAUUUGAGAAGACAAACCUUUUCCCAAGCGAUGUGAUGAAAACCCCGAGUAUUAGAAGAAUGCCCCCAUAAAAAGGCCCGAAAUUCCUUUUCCAUUUGAUUCAGGAUGGAUGGAGACAGGAAUGUGAACGGUCCAAGAAAUUCCAGCAAUUGCAUCUUUGGGAAUUUUGGAGUGCAAAGUGCUAUAUUUAUUUUCUGCGGCUUACUUCAAGAUUACCCUCAAGUGCUCUUGGCAUAUGGGAUUACACAACCUUCUACCAUACUUCUACAUCCAUUAUGGUCCAUAAUACAUGGGUUUUUUCAGCACUUUGGGAGGCAUAAAUAUUACAUCAAUCUCUUUAUAUCUGUGCUAUGUAGCACUAAUUUGUAUAUUAUGAAACCUAUGUUUC